RNAcentral lists this long non-coding RNA (446 nucleotides) under Sinocyclocheilus grahami. Its description in RNAcentral is "lncRNA (ENSSGRG00000023166.1)". The record is from RNAcentral. Lineage: Eukaryota; Metazoa; Chordata; Actinopteri; Cypriniformes; Cyprinidae.
CCUUUGCAGUGUGAAUGUAAGAACAUCUGGAUCAAAGUCUGGUUGGAUGACAGUGAGAGAGAUGAGCUGCUGUGUCUACAGGAAGGAGGAAAAGCAAAAGCCCUGUCUAGACUCACUCUUCCUUCAUGUGAGUAUCCACGUGUCGAGGUCAUCCCUGCUGUUGUCAGUCAAAUGGCAGGAAGUGAUGCCACAGUGAUGUGUAGUGUGUCAGGAGCCCCGACCCCUGAGCUCUCCUGGAGCUUAAACUCCAGUGAUCACCCUCCUCUCUCAACCAGCUAUGAGAUUUCUCACAAAAUGGAGCUGCAGUCUAUUCUGACUCUAAGUGGACUUUCACCUGAUGACAACGGCAGAGAGCUCACCUGUAGUGCCGAGAACAUUGUUGGCCAGACUGAGGCUUCAGUCCUUCUCAAUAUUCUUUGUAAGAACUCCCAUUGUGUUGUGUGGAU